Long non-coding RNA from Dermochelys coriacea (leatherback sea turtle), 1621 nucleotides. RefSeq lists it as uncharacterized. NCBI's taxonomy places the organism in Eukaryota, Metazoa, Chordata, Testudines, Dermochelyidae. The transcript is spliced from 3 exons. The record is from RefSeq and is a predicted model, not a curated record.
CAGCCAGUGUUCAAGGUAUGUCACAAGAUGUUUGGACCAACAGUUAUGGCCUAACUUCUUACAUAAGCUGGUCUGACGAGAUGUGUUGCACAGAGACUGGAAAAUUCCAAUCCCAGUUGCAAGAACUCAAAAGCUGAUGUCUUGUUUCCUGACUGGAUGGUUAGAGAGGAUGACUCAUUUUGGUUGGACGCUUUCAAUCUUUGGAAGAAGCAUGGGUCACCAUCUGAUUGGUUCAUGCCAGCAUUUCCAAGAACAACUAAGUUGGACCACCCAGUAGAAAUAGUAUAAAAUGGUCUUUCCCCUUCAGCACAUCGCUUCCUUAAAACUGAAGACACCUGGAAGGGAGAAAACUGGAGUCGAGGGCUGGCCACCUGGGACUUCUUCUGGUGACAUCAAGUAAGCAAUCAAAAUUAAAAGAACCCUAAGAACGGUGGUACAGGAGUGUGACGGGGGUGUUCACUCCACGCCAGCCCGGAAGGGGCUAAGGAAGUGAGAAGGCCCAACUAGUGAGAUAUGCCAUGCAUGAAGGGUUUAGGCUGGAGAAGCAACUCCUGAUUAGAAGAUGAAGCUCAGCUGAGCAAGUGUGGGCUAGGCUGUAUGAAGCCAGAAGCUGGCAACAGAAAUGGCAGCAAUGAGGAAGUCUCUAGCCAGCCUCUGUCAUUUUAAAUGUACAGCAAUAUGAAAACAAAGUUUCUGACUGAAAGCCUAUGUCACCCUUACCAAAAGAGGCAUUUUAUGGAACCCUGGAGAACCCUACAAUGUUACUUGCUUUUUCUGCCUGUGCUACAUUUGUUCCAUUUAAAAUGGAUGCCAUUUCACAAUAUCAGGACAGAAACCUAAUUUCACAGAUAUAGUGGAACCCACUUGUCAGCAAUCUGGUUUUGUUUUUCAAAGAACAAAUUUGUUGUACGUAUGACUUCUAACUAUACUAGAAUUGGUUUGGUGUGUAAGUAGAAAUUUGGGACUUUGAUUCUUUUACUGUACAUAAAAUGUAACUACAUUUGUACUCUCUGAAAGCAAUUUACACUGUCCAUGUUUGGAUAUAUGCCAUGUGAUUGAUACAGGUAAUUUCCUAAGUGGCUCUUGCAAAUUCUGUCCCAUAUUCUCAUUCUUUGAUCACAGAACCCCUCAAACUGACCAGGACAACUCAGAAUCCAACAGUUGUUAACAGCCAUUUUGUGAACCUCUACUCACAGUUAAUAGUCCUUUAUACCAUAAAUAAUCCCACUGAAAUCAAAUGGAAUACUUGUGGAAUAAGAUAUUACUUAAUGUAAGGGGAUAACAGGGUGACUGAUGGUAAAGUAUCAACCACGCACUGAUUUAGGCUAAAUCACCAAAAAUUCAAAAAACAAAGAAACAGGGUAUUGCAAUGAUUGAAGAAAACAUUAAGAAAGAGCAUGCCACAUACAAUAUUGCUAUCACACCUGGCCCCGGAGAAACGUAGUGAAUAGAAGGUUGCCUAUAAACAGUGGGGCCAUGGUACAAGUCUUCUAAAGACUGUUAGAAAAAGGUAUGUUUUGAGUAAGUAGGGGCUUAGUCAAGGAAUUUAUUGCUCUUUCAAGAACAGCUGCAGCUUGUUUUUUCUAAUUAGAAUGGCUCUCUCCAAACAACCUUCUUUUUG